Long non-coding RNA from Hippopotamus amphibius kiboko, 474 nucleotides. RefSeq lists it as uncharacterized. The record is from RefSeq and is a predicted model, not a curated record. The transcript has 4 exons. Lineage: Eukaryota; Metazoa; Chordata; Mammalia; Artiodactyla; Hippopotamidae.
CAGAUGGGGAAAAACAAGACUAUAAAAGGGAAGCUGGAUUCCAAAAUGACACUCAGAGACACUUCCAUUUUUCAGUGUGGGGAAUGGUGGCCCCUGCUUUGCCCAUCUACCAGCUAUUAGGGGAUGCCGUUAAUCGGGUGCGUCCAACUGGGACUUGAACCAAUGGUGGAAUGUAGACCCUCUUUCUAGUUGUGAUGCAGUUGUGGCUGGUUGCGCUCUGAAGUGCAUCUAGAAGGGAUAUAUGCAACAUGGACCUCACUUGCUUCAGGGGAAAUCUUUGCUUCUGUGUCCACUCUGUCCACCCUGCAGCAGAUUGCAGUAUCAUUAUUAUCCCAGUUUCACCUAUGAGAAAACCAAGGCUACACUGCCAAGGCCUGCCGUGUGCUCUGUUCUGCACCAGAUGCCGUGAAUGCAAAGGUGCGUGAGAUUCAGCCCCCGUGUCAAUCAUUCCCGUGGCAAUUUCCUGCCUCUAAG